ACGAACGCUGGCGGCGUGCUUAACACAUGCCAGUCGAACGGAAAGGCCCUGCUUUUGUGGGGUGCUCGAGUGGCGAACGGGUGAGUAACACGUGAGUAACCUGCCCUUGACUUUGGGAUAACUUCAGGAAACUGGGGCUAAUACCGGAUAGGAGCUCCUGCUGCAUGGUGGGGGUUGGAAAGUUUCGGCGGUUGGGGAUGGACUCGCGGCUUAUCAGCUUGUUGGUGGGGUAGUGGCUUACCAAGGCUUUGACGGGUAGCCGGCCUGAGAGGGUGACCGGCCACAUUGGGACUGAGAUACGGCCCAGACUCCACGGGAGGCAGCAGUGGGGAAUAUUGCACAAUGGGCGGAAGCCUGAUGCAGCAACGCCGCGUGCGGGAUGACGGCCUUCGGGUUGUAAACCGCUUUCGCCUGUGACGAAGCGUGAGUGACGGUAAUGGGUAAAGAAGCACCGGCUAACUACGUG
RNAcentral lists this ribosomal RNA (466 nucleotides) under uncultured bacterium. Its description in RNAcentral is "partial 16S ribosomal RNA". It matches the Rfam family "Bacterial small subunit ribosomal RNA", at positions 29 to 507 of the family's 1533-position model. The record is from RNAcentral.